Non-coding RNA from Cicer arietinum (chickpea), 133 nucleotides. Lineage: Eukaryota; Viridiplantae; Streptophyta; Magnoliopsida; Fabales; Fabaceae. The record is from RefSeq and is a predicted model, not a curated record.
UUUGAGAAAUUCAAGCACAACAAUUUCAAAUGUAAUUGGGCCAGUGGAGCAAAUGGCUUUGGCUAACCAUCCAGUUAAAGGCCUAUACUUUAUGGUUGUUGGUCCACCAGAGGUCAGUAUAUGAUUCAAAAAA